GAUGAACGCUGGCGGCGUGCCUAAUACAUGCAAGUCGAGCGGACAGACGAGGACUUUGUUCCUCUGACGUUAGCGGCGGACGGGUGAGAAACACGUGGAUACCCUCCCUAUAAGACUGGGAUAACUUCGGGAAACCGGAGCAUAUCCCGGAGAAUAUAUUUACCCGUGGGGUUUAAUAGUAAAAGAUGGUGUUGCGGAUGCGUAUACAGGCUUCCGCGCCGCAUUAGCUAGUUGGGAAGGUAACGGCUUACCAAGGCAACUAGUCGUAGCCGACGUGGGAGAGGGGUCGGCCACACGGGAGCUUGAACGCGGACCAGGCUACUGAGGGACGGCGCAGUAGGGAACCGGACGCAGUGGGCGAGAGCCUGACGGAGCGACGCCGCGUGAGUGGUGACGGUCUUCGGAUCGUAAAACUCUGUUAUUAGGUAAGAACAAAUGUGUAAGUAACUGUGGACGUCUUGACGGUACCUGAUCAGAAAGCCACGGCUAACUACGUG
RNAcentral lists this ribosomal RNA (497 nucleotides) under uncultured bacterium. RNAcentral describes it as "partial 16S ribosomal RNA". It matches the Rfam family "Bacterial small subunit ribosomal RNA", at positions 28 to 507 of the family's 1533-position model. The record is from RNAcentral.